CCCAGAAAUUAUUGAAUAAUUUUACUUUCACCCUGGCUGGCAUGUUAAAAUUUUAUUUAUCUUAUUUGAUAUUUCCACAGAGAAGCGCUCCAUAAAAGCAGCUCCACAGGUGGGUUAAGAGCAGACUUUAAUAUUAAUAUCUUUAUUAUGAUGCGAGCGCACGAAGCUCUUACUUUCCGCCCUGAUUAUUUCCCAUCUUUAACUUAACUUCAUAAUGAAAUUAAUUAAGGAUCAGACUAGUAUUUCAUGUGGUGGCAGAUAUAGUGUGUUUGACAAACUGAUGGUGUUAUUUUUCUAUCUGGACUGAGAUGAACAAAUUCAUUCAAGUCUAUUUUAUAUAUAUAUAUAGUCUGAUCCUUGACAAAUAUUGGCUGUACAAAAGUAACACCACAGUAAUAGCAUGGAAAAAGCGGAUUUAUCCUGAAACUCUCUUGUAAACACUGAACAUGUCCAUUGAUUUCUAAUUAUGUCUGGUUGUCAGAUGCACAAAAUUGUUCUUCAAAUUAAUUUCAGAAUAAUAUGCAACACAGGAACGAGGCGAGUUUCAUUUGUUUCUGUUCAAUAGUUUAUACUGUAGCUUGUUCUCUAUGACCACACAAUGUAAACAAUGGUGGAAAGGACUCAAUCACAUCCAAGACAAAUUCUUGGGGCGUGUCAGCACAGCAUAGGACUUUUAGCAGCAAGUGUGUUAUUAUGUGAUGUUACUUUGAUGUUAAAGUGAACUUAUACAGGAUUAUUUGUUGUGACUAAAUUCUUUUAUUCUCUGCCUGAGAUCUUGCCUCCUGAUGUGCUGGAUCAUGGCUGUGUAAAUCAAGGACAGGAUGAGAUCCAGCAAACUGCUGGCGAGGAGCGCGAAUGGAUCAUCCAUGUGGCUGGAGGUGGUGAGGUGGAAUGACACUAAAGGAAAAAGCAGACUCUUGGGAGUCUGACUUCAUUCUUGGAGUAGCUCUGAGUGGGUGGUGGACUGUGCUGGUGGAGAAUGAAGGGUGAUGGACUGACCUGUCACCACUUGUGGAUGAAUUGUGGAGCACACAGGUGAGUGUUCAUGCUGAUACAAUUCGGGAAUGUAAAUAAAGGUGGGAUGAACUCAUGCCACAUUGUGUGAAUGGGUCGAUGCUUGCAGGACAUGGGGACAACUUAAGGGAGAAUGUGUUGGACAAGCAUCAAGGGUGGAAGAAGAUUUCUAUAGCACUUUUCCAUUUAGCAAAUGCUCAAAGCACUUUACAACAAUGCCUCACAGUUACUUCAACGGCUACGGUCUAUACCCGUUUUUUACAGCUUGGUCGACAGACAAUACAGAUUAAGUGUCUUGACCAAGGACAGAGACAGGUAGCACAAGCAGAAUAUGAAGUCAGAUAUGGGUAAAAUCCUAUUUCUGUGGCUGGUUUAGCAUCAACCCAUUCACCGACUUACUAAUUGCAGUCUAUUUUACUGGGACUCUAAUUUUUACCUAAUGGUUGUCUUUUAUAACUGUAUACUGUGGCUUAGCUCCAACAUUUCAAUCUGUCCAUGUUCUGACAAUUCUGUAUUGUGCUUUCCUCUAAUUUGUUCAUAUGGCCUAUAGCAGAUGGUCAACCUGCUAAGUUUGACUAACUUAAGGUAUCUUCAAAUAAGCAAAGAAAAAAACAAAACAAAAAAACAAAAACAGAGGAAGUUUUUCCCUUUCCACUGUCUUCAGUGUGCUUCAGUAUUAAACUGGAUUGAAAUGAACAGACGGAUGUACAAACAGGACUCUUUACAUCUCCCUUUUCCAGUCUGUGGUGGGAGAUAGAAAUCAUGACAUACAGUAUAAACUUAAUUUGAAUCUGCAUUCCAUUAUUUAAACACUAUAAGAGGCUAAUUAUUUUGCAG
Long non-coding RNA from Thalassophryne amazonica, 1851 nucleotides. RefSeq lists it as uncharacterized. NCBI's taxonomy places the organism in Eukaryota, Metazoa, Chordata, Actinopteri, Batrachoidiformes, Batrachoididae. The transcript is spliced from 4 exons. The record is from RefSeq and is a predicted model, not a curated record.